AUACGCCAUUCGUACACUGCGGUUCCGACCGCGCCGUCCACACCCGCCUGACGACCAAUACGUUUCGUUAGCC
RNAcentral lists this small RNA (73 nucleotides) under Xanthomonas oryzae. RNAcentral's name for it is "sX9". It matches the Rfam family "Xanthomonas sRNA sX9". The record is from RNAcentral. Lineage: Bacteria; Pseudomonadati; Pseudomonadota; Gammaproteobacteria; Lysobacterales; Lysobacteraceae.